This 45-nucleotide non-coding RNA is filed under the name Trichobilharzia regenti. Lineage: Eukaryota; Metazoa; Platyhelminthes; Trematoda; Strigeidida; Schistosomatidae. The record is from RNAcentral.
AUCCAGACGAGGAGUCCCAAAUAGGACGAAACGAGCAUCAUGGGU